RNAcentral lists this ribosomal RNA (425 nucleotides) under uncultured Desulfobulbus sp. RNAcentral's name for it is "bacterial SSU rRNA". It matches the Rfam family "Bacterial small subunit ribosomal RNA", at positions 963 to 1382 of the family's 1533-position model. Lineage: Bacteria; Pseudomonadati; Thermodesulfobacteriota; Desulfobulbia; Desulfobulbales; Desulfobulbaceae. The record is from RNAcentral.
GAAGAACCUUACCUGGUCUUGACAUCCCGGAGACCCUUAGGAAACGUAGGGGUGCUUCCAUCUGGAAGAAUCUGGAGACAGGUGCUGCAUGGCUGUCGUCAGCUCGUGUCGUGAGAUGUUGGGUUAAGUCCCGCAACGAGCGCAGCCCUUGCCUUUAGUUGCCAGCAGUUCGGCUGGGCACUCUAAAGGGACUGCCGGUGUUAAACCGGAGGAAGGUGGGGAUGACGUCAAGUCCUCAUGGCCUUUAUGACCAGGGCUACACACGUACUACAAUGGCCGAUACAAAGGGCAGCGACACUGCGAGGUGAAGCCAAUCCCGUAAAAUCGGUCUCAGUCCGGAUUGGAGUCUGCAACUCGACUCCAUGAAGUUGGAAUCGCUAGUAAUCGUGGAUCAGCAUGCCACGGUGAAUACGUUCCCGGGCCUU